Molecule: long non-coding RNA, 209 nt
Filed under: Setaria italica (foxtail millet)
Lineage: Eukaryota; Viridiplantae; Streptophyta; Magnoliopsida; Poales; Poaceae
Description: long non-coding RNA (SITA_LNC001145)
Source: RNAcentral
GGUUAUAUAGAUUUUUUCCUAGUUAUUACAUGCAAACCGUGCAAAUAGAAUGAUUGUGCUAGACUAUGUUCUUCAAGGAGAAGGCAGAUUGCCUCUUGAGGAAGGAUAAUAGCUUCAGAUGCAUUGUGAGUUAGGGAUGAUGGUGUGGAUAUGAGGGUUGAUGCUGUGUAGGAUGUUUUCAUCACGGGAUCUUGAUCGGUGGUCGGAGC